GGAGCCUGCGGUUUAAUCGGACUCAACGCCGGGAAACUCACCAGAUAAGACAGCUGAAUGAUAGUCGGGCUGAAGACUCUACUUGACUAGCUGAGAGGAGGUGCAUGGCCGUCGUCAGUUCGUACUGUGAAGCAUCCUGUUAAGUCAGGCAACGAGCGAGACCCACGCCAACAGUUGCCAGCUCGUCCUCCGGGAUGGUGGGGACACUGUUGGGACCGCCUCUGCUAAAGAGGAGGAAGGAAUGGGGCAACGGUAGGUCAGCAUGCCCCGAAUUAUCUGGGCUACACGCGGGCUACAAUGGGUGGGACAAUGGGUAUCGACACCGAAAGGUGAAGGCAAUCUCCUAAACCCAUCCGUAGUUCGGAUUGUGGGCUGCAACUCGCCCACAUGAAGCUGGAAUCUGUAGUAAUCGUGUCUCAAAAUGGCACGGUGAAUAUGUCCCUGCUCCUU
This 450-nucleotide ribosomal RNA is filed under the name uncultured Methanomicrobiales archaeon. RNAcentral describes it as "bacterial SSU rRNA". It matches the Rfam family "Archaeal small subunit ribosomal RNA", at positions 890 to 1338 of the family's 1478-position model. The record is from RNAcentral. Lineage: Archaea; Methanobacteriati; Methanobacteriota; Methanomicrobia; Methanomicrobiales.